AAGGUUUUAAGUUAAUUAAACUAAUAGCCUUCAAAGUUAUAAAUAAAGAAUAUCUUUAGGCCUUA
Molecule: transfer RNA, 65 nt
Filed under: Xenopsylla cheopis (oriental rat flea)
Lineage: Eukaryota; Metazoa; Arthropoda; Insecta; Siphonaptera; Pulicidae
Description: tRNA-Trp
Source: RNAcentral